Molecule: ribosomal RNA, 240 nt
Filed under: Triticum aestivum (bread wheat)
Lineage: Eukaryota; Viridiplantae; Streptophyta; Magnoliopsida; Poales; Poaceae
Description: partial small subunit ribosomal RNA
Source: RNAcentral
AUGAUCUACGACAAGGUGGGUUCUUGGUGGGAUGGGGUCCUCACCAACAAUGCGUUGCCAACGAAAGCCCUCACCUCCCUUCUUCAUCUUGUAAGCUGGGUGGUUUGGAAUGAGCGAAAUGCACGCGUGUUCAGGAAUGCGGCGCCGGUGAUGGUGGUCGUGCGAUCUAUUAAGGAGGAGGCUUUCCUAUGGGCCAUGGCGGGCGCUAAACAUUUGUGUAAUUUGAUGCCGCGAGAGUAG